AUACGGAGGAUGCGAGCGUUAUCCGGAUUUAUUGGGUUUAAAGGGUGCGUAGGUGGUAAUUUAAGUCAGCGGUGAAAGUUUGUGGCUCAACCAUAAAAUUGCCGUUGAAACUGGGUUACUUGAGUGUGUUUGAGGUAGGCGGAAUGCGUGGUGUAGCGGUGAAAUGCAUAGAUAUCACGCAGAACUCCAAUUGCGAAGGCAGCUUACUAAACCAUAACUGACACUGAAGCACGAAAGCGUGGGUAUCAAACAGGAUUAGAUACCCUGGUAGUCCACGCAGUAAACGAUGAUUACUAGGAGUUUGCGAUACACGGUAAGCUCUACAGCGAAAGCGUUAAGUAAUCCACCUGGGAGUACGCCGGCAACGGUGAAACUUAAAGGAAUUGACGGGG
This 392-nucleotide ribosomal RNA is filed under the name uncultured bacterium. Its description in RNAcentral is "partial 16S ribosomal RNA". It matches the Rfam family "Bacterial small subunit ribosomal RNA", at positions 523 to 918 of the family's 1533-position model. The record is from RNAcentral.